UCCGGCCCUGGCCCCGCCUCUCUGGCCCGGCCCGCCUGGUGCUCCGUAGCACCUGCGGCUUGUCUGACCGCUGGAAGAGCCGAGAGUCCCUGGGCCCUGUCCCCGAGGCCAGGCGGCGCAGAGGACACGCGUUACCUGCUCCGUCUGGGGGGCAGGCGGCCAACAUCCCAACCCCAUUUGGGAGAAACGGGAAGGUUUCGGCUGGUCGCCUGCCCUGGUGUCUCCUGCCCUCUCCCUGCCCACCUCCCAUAGUGGAGGCCCCGAAGGCCCCGAAGGGCACCGCUGCACCCUGCGUGGAGUUGACCAUGAGACUUAGGGGAGGUCGGCUCCGGGCUUGGAUGCCGGGAGCAGAGCCCAGGAGGUAACCCCCGCCUGUGGCAGAGUGUGGAGUGAGAGCCAAUACCUGGAGCUGGUGCAGCCAUCUUACACCCCUGAGGAAGACGCCGAGAGAAUCUCGGAGAUGCCAGCCCAAGUCGCUGAGAUAAUACAGUCCCCACCCCUCUUUGAGGGUAUUGCUGUGUGAUUAAGGGGAAAAAAGGACAAGAAAAAAGCCCUUUGUUUAAGCCUGUUAUACAGUGGCUUCCAUACUUGGAAGUAACACAAUCAUCACUAAUAGGCGGAGGCAACAGAAGGUCAGAGGCCUGUCUGGCUGGCAGAUGUCCAGGAAGUCUUGUGUUCAUGACACUGCCACACAGUGGCACUACACAAUGUGCUGUCCCCCUCCAGGAAAGUGAUGCUGAAGUAUCUUAUGCAAGACCCCAUUCAUAUGGUAACAUCCUCCUCACUGCCCUCUUCAACUCCUUCCGGUCACCAUGGCAACUGGCACCGGAAGUGAGCAGCAAGGAUGCAUCAGAGAAGAUGCGGGCUACAAGCUUAGGAAGGUGGCCUGCACAGCACCAACCUGACCCGCUCUGGCCCCUCAGAGAUGUUAGCCCACUCCAGCUGGGUGCACUCCGGCCACCUUCCUGCCUUCUUGGUACCCUUACCGUACCUGCGUACCUGCCCGUUAGGGCCAGCAACGGCCUCCGUCAUGUUGGAAACAUGCCUUGCAUCUGUGUCUGCCCUCCCUACUAUCUAGGAUACACUGUGCUCCAAGGUGUAUGUCAUUGGGAGAAAAUCUGUCUUCACGGAGUCUCUGGAGAGUUCCUUGCAUGGGACCUGGAGUGCAUGUGAAAUUCUCUUCUACUGCACACUUGUAAAUUGCACAGACCGCUGUGCUUAUCCCAGCCUUCAAGCUGCUCCAUCAUCAGCAUCCCAGGUGCUGUCCACGAUUGGCCAGCAGAAGCCUCUUUGAACUUACUCCGAAGCCUUUGGUAGGAGCCUUGUUGUUUUUGAGAAUGUCCUUGCCGUUUGUGUGACAAGAAUCCCCAUGUUCGUUGGGUACGUGUCCUGUGUCAGCCCUGCUGUCGGGAGGCAGCAUCUAGGGCCGGGAGAGGGCUCUAGUUUUGAUUCUAAGAUAGAAGCAGAGUCUGAGCAGUCUGAGAGCAGAGUCUGAAGGCCAGAGGCAGGCCACAAGCACAAGAGCUACUCCGUCCUUCGUCUGUACUGUCUUUUGCCCAAGACGGCGCUAACAACUUUCAGAUGUUCCCAGCACUGUGGGCGGCUGGUCCUCUUCCCUUGGACUCAGGAAUCCGAGCCGUUUCUGACCAGCCCCUUGGUGCAGGGGCCUCAGUGGAGGCAGAAGCUUCCAAGAGCAUGUGACUCUAUGGGCAGGGGUCACUUCCAAUCAAACUCUUACCUCGGGGAGGAGGGUUUCCUGGGCCUGUUGCUUAGUCGGAAUAUGGAGCUUAGUUUCUGGGCAAAGAGCAAAUUCUCACAAGGAUUCUGCAAACAUUACAUGUUCUAUCCCUGACAAGUGGAUCGUUUAUCCUUCUGGAAAGGCUACCUACAGGACUUGGAGAAAUUUACUUAACAGCAAAACAGAUGACAGCCAUAGCUUUCUAAUUCCAUCGGUUCUUACCAGAGGGAGAGACCUAUCAAUCAUGGUGCAUAGGGGGGAGGGGGUCUCAGGCUAAAGUGAGGCUUCGCCAGGUCUCACAGAGCAGCUGUACCGCGGGGAACAGGAUUUCGGGAUGCCAGCAAAAACAACAUUCGCUUCAGAAACAAUGUGUAGGAAAUAUUUAUGGAGUCAUGAACUCUUGCAAAGAAUAUAAUGAAAGGCAAAAACUCGGAGAAAGUUGGAGAAAAAAAUCCAGUUCUCAGAAACGCAUGGGAUAGAUCUCACCUGCAUCUCCUCCUCCCUUCCUGGAAGUGCAAAGUGGCCAUACGUGCUGUGCUUGAGGAAUCUGUCUUUGGCCAGAAGAGACAGACAAAGAAUCACAACUGAAAACCUGCAUGACCACGUCUGAGGCAGAAGCCACAGUUCUGUGGGCACAUGAGGAGCUCAUGACUUAUCCUGGCCAGUUCAUGGAGGAGUAGGGUUUGGACGAGGAAAUGAAGGUGAGGAGGAGUUCUCCAGGCCGUACUGCAGCACCAAGGAAAGGAAAGUGUGCCGGACAUUGCAAACGCCAGCAGUCAUCCACAUGGCCACCUCUGUGUGGAUUAGAUAAAGGAGCCCCUUCAAGGCAGACACAGAAGGCAUCCCAUCCCCCGUUUGUGCAGUGCACAAACUACGCAACUGUGCUAGUGGCCCUGGGAGGAGGCCUUGGCAGCUAAAUUUUGUUUGUCUUUCACAUCUUCUUUCCCCUCCUGGUUAUGGACCCCCCUCACCUUUUCUUUAAAUGAAGUGAUUCUGUGUGGUUA
Canis lupus familiaris (dog) is the source of this 2742-nucleotide long non-coding RNA. RefSeq lists it as uncharacterized. The transcript has 3 exons. NCBI's taxonomy places the organism in Eukaryota, Metazoa, Chordata, Mammalia, Carnivora, Canidae. The record is from RefSeq and is a predicted model, not a curated record.